RNAcentral lists this long non-coding RNA (354 nucleotides) under Mytilus galloprovincialis (Mediterranean mussel). The record is from RNAcentral. Lineage: Eukaryota; Metazoa; Mollusca; Bivalvia; Mytilida; Mytilidae.
GUUGGGGUUAUUUUGGGAUAAAAACGAAAAAGAAUGCGUCCGGAUAUUUUCCCGUCAUUGGACAAAACUUUAAGUCAGAUUAGACUUCCGGUUUAUGUUUUUUCUGUACUUUGAACAUACAAAGACUAUGAAUAAAGUAUAUAAAUUUUAUUUCUGCUGUCAUUUUGAGUUCUAGCAUGUAUCAUCCUUGCUUAACGUGUUUCAGUUUGGGUUAUUUUGGGAGGAAAACGAAAAUGAAUAAUAUUUGCUAUUUACUAUCAAUUAGUUUACAGUGGAUCCAGAACUUUUCAUAAGGGAGGGGGCACUGACUGACCUAAAAGGGGGGGGGCGUUCCUCUCAUGCUUCAGUGAUUCC